CUCUUAUCCAGAGUGGCGGAGGGACUGGCCCGACGAUGCCCGGCAACCGUUAGAUGAAACGUCAUCUAAGAAGGUGCUAAAUCCUGCAAAGCAAUUUUGCUUUGAAAGAUGAGAG
Molecule: non-coding RNA, 115 nt
Filed under: Halalkalibacter akibai
Lineage: Bacteria; Bacillati; Bacillota; Bacilli; Caryophanales; Bacillaceae
Also listed under: 1 other name
Description: Bacillus akibai SAM-I sequence
Rfam family: SAM riboswitch aptamer (S box leader)
About the family: The SAM riboswitch is found upstream of a number of genes which code for proteins involved in methionine or cysteine biosynthesis in Gram-positive bacteria. The SAM riboswitch acts at the level of transcription termination control. The predicted structure consists of a complex stem-loop region followed by a single stem loop terminator region.
Source: RNAcentral